This is a long non-coding RNA of Penaeus vannamei (Pacific white shrimp), 1908 nucleotides long. RefSeq lists it as uncharacterized. NCBI's taxonomy places the organism in Eukaryota, Metazoa, Arthropoda, Malacostraca, Decapoda, Penaeidae. The record is from RefSeq and is a predicted model, not a curated record.
CUGCUGACGUCAUGACUUCAGGCCAGGCGAGUCACCGUGAACGGGUACGGGUCAGCGAUAUCGCAAGGGCAGGGACGCCUCGUGCACUGGCACCCUGCACGAAGAAGUUACGAAGCACAGAACAUUAAGGUCUGGUGAAAUCUGCAGUCAGCAAGUUGUGUUUGAAGCUAUGAAGUAACCAGAAAUCAGUAGCGCAUUAUCAUGGGAAUGUGUCCUUCAGAAAUGGCUUCUUGGAUGGAAAGAGUUGAAAAUCAGAUAAUGCAAGGAAAGGAGAACAAGGAGCAUGAGGAAGGAUGUCAUAGACACAGGGCCAUCUGGGCAAUUUGAGAGUUGUGAACAGGGGCGUCGUCCUGUAGGAGGCAGACAACUUUGUUCAACAUUCCAUGCCUCUCGGUCUUGAUAGCCUCCCGCAAUUUCUGUAGCAGUGACGCGUAGUAAGCUCCUGUAAUUGCAAUCACUUUUGCCAGGACAUCCACCAUCACUUCUUCAUGUUGGUCUCAAAAGCCUGCGAGCAUGCAUUUGCUGCCAAGGGUGUGACAUGUACUUUUUUGGGAGUUCUGACUCAAAGGGCUUCCAUUGUUUAACUGGGCAUUAGAUACCUGAUCAUAGUUUAAGACCCAGGUGUCCUCCUGUGUAAUUAGUCUGCCAAAAAGUCCUCCUGAUUUUCUUGGCACGUGGCUAAAAGAACCUUGGGACAAUGGACACUUUCCUGCUUCUGGAACGGUGUGAGUAGCAUGGGAAACGGCAACUUUAGCAUAUGCAGAUGGUUAUGAAUGACUUUAUCCCUGUGUUAUCAUUAUCGUUAUCAUCAUGAUAAAUGUUAUUUAAUCACUAUCACUAGUGUUAAUGGAUCAUUAUCAUUAUUGUUAUAAAUUUGUCACUAUUGUUAUCGUUGUUGUCCAUCUACUAUUACCACUAACAUAAACAUCAUAUAUUAUCAUUAUCCUCAUUAUUAUCAUGGUUAUCAUCAUAAACCUCAUAACCAUCAUCCCCAUCGUUUUCAUCAUUAUAAACAUUACAAUAUCAAUAUAUGCAGAGUGUAUGUGUCUAUGUCCGUGUGCAUGUCUUUAUAUCUAUUUAUUUAUUUUACCACCACAGUGCAGCCAACUUCCCAGAACUUGAAGUCCCAAGAACAUCAAAAAAAAAAAAAAAAAUAAAAAAUAAAAAAAAAAUAACGACAAUAACAGUGACAAAAAAUUAAUGAGAAUAAGUAAACCUCAAGUGGCAAGACAUUUUACCCUCGCUUCACACAUCUUUAUUAUCCUCCACUUUUCUCCUCUUCAGUUUCUGUCAGCCAUUUAUACUUCCAAACAUUGCUAUCAAUUUUACAUAUAGAAAGAAGUAUCGAUAGGACAAUGAUAGUGGAUGAUAAAUUGCUAUCUGGUAACCCCAUAAUGACCUCCCUCGCCCUUGCCUCGCCCCAUAAAUAGCGCGCGAAGGACCUCAGACGAGUCAGUGCAGGUUGGAAACAAACAGUGCGAUGAGGCCAAUCUACUUCGUUAUUUUCGUGUUGGCUGUGGUGGUGCUGAUGGCAGAGGCGCGGAGUUUCGCGGAAAUUUGCUUCUGCGACGAAAAGCCCUGCCCUUGCGAUAUAAGAGAAGCCCCCCGUGAGUGACAUUCCCCUUGCUGAAGGCACGGAACAUCGACAGGAAUCGAAUCAGUGAAUCAGCUGGCAAGGGAGUCAACGAAAUCAUAUUUUUGUUAUUUUCUAUUUAUUAUUAUUAUUAUUAUUUUUUUUUAUUGUUAUUAUUUUUUAGAUAUAUCAAGAUCAAAAUGAAGGUGCGCGGGUUAAGAUAUAUAUGAUAAACAGAUAAACACACACACAUACAUACAUACAUGCAUACAUAUAUACACACAUACAUACAUACAUAUAUACACACAUACAUACAUACAUGCAUACAUAUAUAC